RNAcentral lists this ribosomal RNA (492 nucleotides) under uncultured bacterium. RNAcentral describes it as "partial 16S ribosomal RNA". It matches the Rfam family "Bacterial small subunit ribosomal RNA", at positions 29 to 507 of the family's 1533-position model. The record is from RNAcentral.
AGUGAACGCUGGCGGUAUGCCUAACACAUGCAAGUCGAACGGCAGCACAGUAAGAGCUCGCUCUUACGGGUGGCGAGUGGCGGACGGGUGAGGAAUACAUCGGAAUCUACUUUUUCGUGGGGGAUAACGUAGGGAAACUUAUGCUAAUACCGCAUACGACCUACGGGUGAAAUCAGGGGAUCUUCGCACCUUUCGCGUUUGUAUGAGCCGAUGUCGCAUUAGCUAGUUGGCUGGGUAAAGGCCCACCAAGGCGACGAUCCGUAGCUGGCCUGAGAGGAUGAUCGGCCACACUGGAACUGAGACACGGUCCAGACUCCUACGGGAGGCAGCAGUGGGGAAUAUUGGACAAUGGGCGCAAGCCUGAUCCAGCCAUACCGCGUGGGUGAAGAAGGCCUUCGGGUUGUAAAACCCUUUUGUUGGGAAAGAAAAGAAGCAGGUUAAUACCCCGCUGUUCUGACGGUACCCAAAGAAUAAGCACCGGCUAACUUCGUG